Molecule: ribosomal RNA, 440 nt
Filed under: uncultured bacterium
Lineage: Bacteria
Description: partial 16S ribosomal RNA
Rfam family: Bacterial small subunit ribosomal RNA
Source: RNAcentral
CCUACGGGGGGCAGCAGUGGGGAAUAUUGCACAAUGGGGGAAACCCUGAUGCAGCGACGCCGCGUGAGCGAUGAAGUAUUUCGGUAUGUAAAGCUCUAUCAGCAGGGAAGAAAAUGACGGUACCUGACUAAGAAGCCCCGGCUAACUACGUGCCAGCAGCCGCGGUAAUACGUAGGGGGCAAGCGGUAUACGGAUUUACUGGGUGUAAAGGGAGCGUAGGCGGCGGUGCAAGCCAGAUGUGAAAGCCUGGGGCUCAACCCCGGGACUGCAUUUGGAACUGUGCGGCUAGAGUGUCGGAGAGGCAGGCGGAAUUCCUAGGGUAGCGGUGGAAUGCGUAGAUAUUAGGAGGAACACCAGUGGCGAAGGCGGCCUGCUGGACGAUGACGGACGUUGAGGCUCGAAAGCAUGGGGAGCGAACAGGAUUAGAUACCCCUGUAGUC